This 97-nucleotide small nuclear RNA is filed under the name Castor canadensis (American beaver). The record is from RNAcentral. Lineage: Eukaryota; Metazoa; Chordata; Mammalia; Rodentia; Castoridae.
GCUUUGGAAGCACACAAUAGUUGGAGCAAAACAGAGAAGAUUAGCAUGGCUCCUGCGCCAGGACGACAUGAAAAUUCGUGAAGCGUUCCACUAAAAA